GAUGAACGCUGUCGGCGUGCCUAAUACAUGCAAGUCGAGCGAACGGACGAGAAGCUUGCUUCUCUGAUGUUAGCGGCGGACGGGUGAGUAACACGUGGAUAACCUACCUAUAAGACUGGGAUAACUUCGGGAAACCGGAGCUAAUACCGGAUAAUAUUUUGAACCGCAUGGUUCAAAAGUGAAAGACGGUCUUGCUGUCACUUAUAGAUGGAUCCGCGCUGCAUUAGCUAGUUGGUAAGGUAACGGCUUACCAAGGCAACGAUGCAUAGCCGACCUGAGAGGGGGAGCGGCCCCACUGGAACUGAGACCCGGCCCAACACCCCACGGGAGGCAGCAGGAGGGAAUUUUCCCCAAUGGGCGAAACCCUGACGGAGCAACCCCGGGUGGGUGAAGAGGGUUUUCGGAUCGUAAAACCCUGUUUUUGGGAAAAAAAAUAUGUGUAAGUAACUUUGCCAAUUUUGGCGGGACCUAAUCAAAAAGCCCCGGCUAACUGCGU
This 496-nucleotide ribosomal RNA is filed under the name uncultured bacterium. RNAcentral's name for it is "partial 16S ribosomal RNA". It matches the Rfam family "Bacterial small subunit ribosomal RNA", at positions 28 to 506 of the family's 1533-position model. The record is from RNAcentral.